Molecule: ribosomal RNA, 435 nt
Filed under: uncultured bacterium
Lineage: Bacteria
Description: bacterial SSU rRNA
Rfam family: Bacterial small subunit ribosomal RNA
Source: RNAcentral
AACGCGAAGAACCUUACCAAGGCUUGACAUAUACGAGAACGGGCCAGAAAUGGUCAACUCUUUGGACACUCGUAUACAGGUGGUGCAUGGUUGUCGUCAGCUCGUGUCGUGAGAUGUUGGGUUAAGUCCCGCAACGAGCGCAACCCUCGUUCUUUGUUGCCAGCACGUAAUGGUGGGAACUCAAAGGAGACUGCCGGGGUCAACUCGGAGGAAGGUGGGGAUGACGUCAAAUCAUCAUGCCCCUUAUGUCUUGGGCUUCACGCAUGCUACAAUGGCCGGUACAAAGGGCUGCAAUACCGCGAGGUGGAGCGAAUCCCAAAAAGCCGGUCUCAGUUCGGAUUGAGGUCUGCAACUCGACCUCAUGAAGUCGGAGUCGCUAGUAAUCGCAGAUCAGCAACGCUGCGGUGAAUACGUUCCCGGGCCUUGUACACACCG